UACGGGGGGAGCAAGCGUUGUUCGGAUUUACUGGGCGUAAAGGGCGCGUAGGCGGCCUCCGCAAGUCAGUUGUGAAAUCUCCGAGCUUAACUCGGAAAGGUCAACUGAUACUGCGGGGCUAGAGUGCGGAAGGGGCAACUGGAAUUCUUGGUGUAGCGGUGAAAUGCGUAGAUAUCAAGAGGAACACCGGUGGCGAAGGCGGGUCUCUGGGCCGAUAUCGACGCUGAGGAGCGAAAGCGUGGGGAGCGAACAGG
RNAcentral lists this ribosomal RNA (254 nucleotides) under uncultured bacterium. RNAcentral's name for it is "partial 16S ribosomal RNA". It matches the Rfam family "Bacterial small subunit ribosomal RNA", at positions 524 to 776 of the family's 1533-position model. The record is from RNAcentral.